This is a small nuclear RNA of Macaca fascicularis (crab-eating macaque), 107 nucleotides long. Lineage: Eukaryota; Metazoa; Chordata; Mammalia; Primates; Cercopithecidae. The record is from Ensembl.
GUGCUUGCUUUGGCAGCACAUAUGCUAACAUUGGAAUAAUACAGAAAAGAUUAAUUUGGCCCCUGCACAAGAAUGACAUGCAAACUCACGAAGUAUUCCAUAUUUUU